AAUAUCUAAAAAGUGUGCAACCCCAGUCUUGGACGAAAAAGCCAAAUGCACCAUGACUCCGGAAGUUCCUGAUGUGAGAAGAGAAUUGUCUGUUGUUCCUCCAAUACGUUUAAACACAUCUAAAGACAAAACUCCAGGAACAGAUAAAACACCUCCAGAUACGCCUUUGUCUGACGCAACAAGACAGCAGAUUGCAAACCUAAAAGAUAAUGAUGUGUUUAAAGUUGUUCUGCCACCCCGCUCUUCUCGAUGCAAUACUGGAUGUUUAGAGGCUC
Saccostrea echinata is the source of this 275-nucleotide long non-coding RNA. RefSeq lists it as uncharacterized. The record is from RefSeq and is a predicted model, not a curated record. The transcript is spliced from 3 exons. Lineage: Eukaryota; Metazoa; Mollusca; Bivalvia; Ostreida; Ostreidae.